Molecule: ribosomal RNA, 862 nt
Filed under: uncultured Prevotella sp.
Lineage: Bacteria; Pseudomonadati; Bacteroidota; Bacteroidia; Bacteroidales; Prevotellaceae
Description: bacterial SSU rRNA
Rfam family: Bacterial small subunit ribosomal RNA
Source: RNAcentral
AUUGAACGCUGGCGGCAGGCCUAACACAUGCAAGUCGAGCGGUAGAGAGAAGCUUGCUUCUCUUGAGAGCGGCGGACGGGUGAGUAAUGCCUAGGAAUCUGCCUGGUAGUGGGGGAUAACGUUCGGAAACGGACGCUAAUACCGCAUACGUCCUACGGGAGAAAGCAGGGGACCUUCGGGCCUUGCGCUAUCAGAUGAGCCUAGGUCGGAUUAGCUAGUUGGUGAGGUAAUAGCUCACCAAGGCGACGAUCCGUAACUGGCCUGAGAGGAUGAUCAGUCACACUGGAACUGAGACACGGUCCAGACUCCUACGGGAGGCAGCAGUGGGGAAUAUUGGACAAUGGGCGAAAGCCUGAUCCAGCCAUGCCGCGUGUGUGAAGAAGGUCUUCGGAUUGUAAAGCACUUUAAGUUGGGAGGAAGGGUUGUAGAUUAAUACUUUGCAAUUUUGACGUUACCGACAGAAUAAGCACCGGCUAACUCUGUGCCAGCAGCCGCGGUAAUACAGAGGGUGCAAGCGUUAAUCGGAAUUACUGGGCGUAAAGCGCGCGUAUGUGGUUUGUUAAGUUUGAUGUGAAAUCCCCGGGCUCAAGCUGGGAACUGCAUUUAAAACAGAUAGGCGAGAGUAUGGUAGAGGGUGGUGGAAUUUUCUGAGUAACGACGAAAUGCUUAGAUAUAUAGAUCGCACACCCCCCCCUACACAAAAAUUUGUUCUUACUGCGCCCGAGUUUCCAGUUCACCGCACAGCCAGAAUAAUAUAUACUAAAAUACGAGGGCGACUCUUCGUGGUGGGCCGGCCGGGGGACCCCCCCUCCACAGUGGGGAUCCGGUAAUGACUUUUUACUAUCUAUCUAUAAAAAAUAAA